Molecule: ribosomal RNA, 554 nt
Filed under: uncultured Geoglossum
Lineage: Eukaryota; Fungi; Ascomycota; Geoglossomycetes; Geoglossales; Geoglossaceae
Description: eukaryotic LSU rRNA
Rfam family: 5.8S ribosomal RNA (bases 177-330)
Source: RNAcentral
UCCGUAGGUGAACCUGCGGAAGGAUCAUUACUGAGUAAGGGUCUUCUGGCCCAACCUCCAACCCCUUGUAUACUACCAAGCUUUUUUAUGUUGCUUCGGUGGGCUGUAAAUGUCUACCGAAGCACAACAAAAACUCUUAUAAUUGAUGGUGUCUGAGUAAAUGAAGAAAUUAUUAAAACUUUCAACAACGGAUCUCUUGGUUCCCGCAUCGAUGAAGAACGCAGCGAAAUGCGAUAAGUAAUGUGAAUUGCAGAAUUCAGUGAAUCAUCGAAUCUUUGAACGCACAUUGCGCCCCUUGGUAUUCCGAGGGGCAUGCCUGUUCGAGCGUCAUGAUCAAAUCUCAAGCCUAGCUUGGAAUUGGGCUUUCGUCUCCUGCCAUUGUGGCUAGUUGAGACGUGUCUAAAAAGAAAUGGCGAUGCCUCAAUGGACUCUAGCGUAGCAGACUGACUUGCGCUUGGAGGGCUGCUGUAGGUUUUUGCUAAUAAAAUAAUCAAGUUGGACCUCGGAUCAGGUAGGGAUACCCGCUGAACUUAAGCAUAUCAAUAAGCGGAGGA